GUGAUAACUAGCUUACUUAUUGGAGAUAAUCUUCUUCUUAUUGGUAGUCAUCUGAAAGUGAAGGGGCAACCUCCCAAUCAAUUCAGGAUAGUGAUCCCUAAGAUUCCUGCAUACUUCACAGGGACUGGGGAUUUAACGACUGCACUUCUACUAGGAUGGAGCAAUAAAUAUCCCGAUAACCUUGAGAAAGCAUCAGAACUUGCAGUAUCAAGCUUGCAGGC
This 221-nucleotide unclassified non-coding RNA is filed under the name Hevea brasiliensis (rubber tree). Lineage: Eukaryota; Viridiplantae; Streptophyta; Magnoliopsida; Malpighiales; Euphorbiaceae. The record is from RNAcentral.